ACAAGUGCAACAUCAGCAGUGUUGGAGAGUCUCCACCCAGCUGGGUCUCUGUCACAGAGAAACCUACAACUACAGAACCACCAACCUCAGACCCCCUCCCCCUUGUGUUCAGAGUAGUCGUCCACCUGGUGGUGUUCUGUCCGUACUGCAUCUCCACUUUCAUCAUGGUGUCUUUAUAUCGAGGCAGGGCCACAGGAAAUGGCCUACCUGUCGCCAUGGUGAUGACCUU
Perca fluviatilis (European perch) is the source of this 229-nucleotide long non-coding RNA. RefSeq lists it as uncharacterized. The transcript is spliced from 3 exons. Lineage: Eukaryota; Metazoa; Chordata; Actinopteri; Perciformes; Percidae. The record is from RefSeq and is a predicted model, not a curated record.